ACCAUCACCAUCCAUCUCCCAAACUUUUUCAUCUUCACCAGCUGAACCUCUGAGCUCAUUAAACAGCUUCUCACUUUCCCCUCUCCCAGCCCCUGGCAACCGCCAUUCUACCUUCCAUCUCUAUGAAUUUGACUACUUUAGGUACCUCAUAUAAGCAGAUCAUACAAAAUUUGUCUUUUUGUGUCUGGCUUAUUUCACUUGGCAUAAUGUCAAGAUUCGUCCAUCUUGUGGAAUUUCCUUCCCUCCCUAUCUCAAGAUGUUGCAUUCCCAGCACACAUUCUACAGUUAUUCUGAGAACAAGAAGAGGGAAAAAGCUUGGUUGGCCAAGGCUGUCUGAGGACCGUCUUGUAAUAUCCAGAAGUGGAACUACUGGAUCACAAGGAAAUAAAUGUGUGGAUGCAGAACCAGUGAACAACUUCUGUGUUUCUGAAUAAAACUGCUGUGGCUUCCCAGAUGAAGGAAGGAGAUUUCUGAGUUGCAAGAGGCCAUCUAUGAAGGCAGAAGCCCAGGGGCCCUACAGUUCCUUUACUUCUUCCCUUUUCACUGGUAAAGAAACUAUUCAUGAUGAUCUUAGAGCCAGAGUCAUUGUUGGUUGAGAUUGAUAAAUUUAUUUUUAGACUGCCAUCCUGGGAUGGAAACCAUGCCUUAGGGGAGGCAUUAGUAAUCAGGUGGAUGGUGUUUCCAGGAUGAGGUAUCAUUUCUUAAAGAGAUACUUCUUGGGCAAUUAUUACAGCUUUCCCUUCAUAGAAAAACUCUGAUUAAAUGCUUGAUGCUAUAUAUAGUGUCUCUGUGUUUAUAAAUCCCUAACUUAAAAGUCUAAGCUACCUGUGUGUCCUACAUUCAACCCCAAAUCAAAAUGCCCAAAAUUUACCAUCAAAGAUGGUUGCAAAAGAAUGUUCACUGUUGGGAUAUUAAUUAUACUGAAAACAAUAACACUGCCAAUGUUAGGGAGUUGGUUCGAUUAAUUAUUGUAUGUUUACAAAAUGGAAUAGUAUGUAGUUAUAUAUGAAGUAAAUAAAUAUUUUUUGAUGUAGAGAGAUAUACGUGAUAGAUAGCUAAGUAAACAAAAUGAGGUUAUACAGUAGCAUUACAGUAUGAUCCACUUACAUGUCUAUGAAGAAAUUACUGUUCAAAAACGAAUAUCAGAAACAAAAUUUAUUGUAGGAAGAGAAUUGCUCUUUUAUUAGAGAAAAAUACUUUAGUUUGUCCUAUGUUAAAGAAGGUAUCACCUUCCCUACCCCAUGCUACCACUAUAUCUAGGUAGUAGCUGGUAAGAUGAAGAAUGGCUAAAGUUCUUCCUAGUAAUAAAACAAAUGAAGUCGGAAACAACAUGGGAAAAUAAUUUUCAAAAAUAUUACAAGUCACUUUUUUAUUGCUGUGUCUGUCAGGCUUGAACUUCCUUAUAUGGUGGCUGCCUGUUGGAAUCAUUCUCAUGACAUCACAGCAUCCACCCAGUACUUCACAGGUACAAAGAACAUUCACACCAUUUGAAGUGUUGAUUCUCAAAACUUCCAAUAAGAUGGGUGGAAGAAAACACUCUUAUUGUUAUCAUUUGGUAAAUGAAAACAUCAAAUCAGAGAGUUACAAUGACAUACUCCAAAUCUCAGAGAUAAUAGCUUCUGAAGAUUAUUUGUGUAUGUCUUAGAUUUAACAACUCAGUUGUAUUGGUGCCAGGGCUGAUCCGACAUGAAUGAAUUAGUUUUCAUUAUCCAGACUCACAGAAGACUCAUUUAUAAACCUAAAGAUCAAUUUUCAAAAGUUUUAUGUAUUGGAUAUAUCUUUCAAGAUUCAGAACACUUGGUUGACCUAUGCACAGUAACACUUUUUUAGUACCAAGAUAAUUGACAAAUAGAAUUAGUUCAUUUAUUUACUCAUUCAAAAAUGUGUUUAUCAACUACCUACUUUAUGCUGAAUUCUAUUAUAGAGGCUGACUCUUGAGUGAUGUACAAAAAUAUAUAAUCUUUAUUUCCAUGGAGCUUAUGAUUUAAUACAGGAAGACAGAUAUUAAAAAUUGUGUUAAGUGCCUCAAAUAAAAUUUAUAGGGUGUAUAAGCAAAUAAAAUAGGGUAAAUACUUAUACUGGACUUGUAGUGGUUAGAAUUCUUUAUUGCAAGUGACAGAAACUCAAAUUAGCUUAAGUUAAAAAAAAGAGAAAAUGUAAGAGAGAAUGUAAUGACUCUUUUGGUCUCAGUUUUCUAGAAAUCAGAGUCUGAGACAGGGAUUAAAUUGUUGACACUUUAUUUGGAAUGCAAAUACUCAAGUCAACACAGGCAAAAAAGAGGGGAAGUGAGAAAAGUGGAGAUGUGGAGCAUUGUCAUGCUGGUCUUGAUCAUAUCAAGUCAUGAAGAAACACAGCAAGGGCACAAAAACAGGUGCACCACUUAUCUGGAAAGUCUUCUCUGUAGAGGUUGCAAUGAAGUCAUGCCACAGAGCAUUCCAUGAGAAUGAGGAAGAACAGAGAAUCUGUCUCCUCCCCCAACAGCCUGUGUUGUGGUGUUUAAUCCAAACACUAGAAUGUUUAAUGAACAUAGAAUCAGAGUAAAGGGCUUAUAAUAAGUCACUGGGGCUGUGGUAGCUCUUUGUCCCUUCUCCCCUAUACAGGCAUUCUUAACUCUCGUUAUGCUGUGGCACACUGAACCAUGUGAGAUAUUGAUUCCCUGGGCCUUCAGUUCAUUGAGAUGUUGCCUGAGACUGCUGAAAUCCCUGGACCAUUAAUCUUAUACUACAGAAUCCUCCCUUGGGCCUUUGGAUGCCCCCCACUUUAUACCAGAUUGCCCAAAAAUUAUUAUUGUGAUAUGAAAAACUUUGGGAAGCACUGACUGGAAGUACAUACUUUUGGUACUUUGUCCUUUGUGAGCUAAGAGGGGUGUUUCUCCUCCACAGAUUGUGUUGGAGACACAUGGACACAUGUUUGACUUCUGAUUCUAGUGCAGGCAGAUUCUCUAAGGCUGAAGCAGGCUGGAGUUAAGUGACCUGAGGGUGUGUAUCAAUGCUGGUCAUCAGAAUCUGGAGGCAGCAGAUUUUUAAAAAUGUGUUGGAAUGUGUUGGUCUUCUUGGAAGCUCAGGGAGACUAAUUUGCUCUCUUCUUUUUUUUCAUCUUCUACCUGCUAUAUUCCUUUGCCCAUCCCUGCCACAUCCAAUUAAUUGAGAAAAACUUCUCUAGUUAUAGUGAGCUUUGGUGCCUGAUUGGAGCAGAUGAUAUCCAUCAAAAGUUUUAGAGAGAAAUGAUGGCUAAGCAUCAUUAAUGAUUAAUCUUACUUUUAAAGUUCUCCUUUUAUAUCAUAGUUUCCAAGGUGAUAGCUCACUGAUUGCCACCUUAUUACUUUCUACUCCUUGUUGGGAAUUGGGAGCUACCAAGACUUAUCAAAACAAAUCUAUAAAUAAUUCUUUUGGAUGGGUUACUCCUGUCGGGAAGAACUAGGCCAUGGCAUAUUCCCUCUAUCAUUUGUUGAAUCAGUUUUGCGGUACUUUAUUUUUCUUUAAAUCCUGUGGCUGCAUCCUAUGUGUACAGCUUCCAAAAUGAUUUUGGCUAUAAAUCAGAUGUAAUGUUUAUGAUACCCUCUGUUACCUCAUGUCACAGUGCACUGUUUCAAACAUCUUGGUAGAUUUUGACAUUUAUUUUCCUCUUAGGGGUAUAUUUCUAAAAUGGGAUUACUGAGUCAGAAAGAAUUUGAACAGAUCUUAUCAUAUAUUGUGAAAUUAUUUUUCUAAAAAAAACUGUCAUUUUUCAAUGUCAUGAGCAAUAUACUUAUUUCCAAAUAACCUACUACAAUUGCGUUUUAUCCUUUAUGCUUACUUUUGUUAAUUUAACUACAUUGUGCCCAG
Molecule: long non-coding RNA, 3824 nt
Filed under: Macaca mulatta (Rhesus monkey)
Lineage: Eukaryota; Metazoa; Chordata; Mammalia; Primates; Cercopithecidae
Description: lncRNA (ENSMMUG00000050541.1)
Source: RNAcentral